AUGAGUUAUGGGGGAGAUGUUAUGAAUAUAAAUGAAAUUACAACAAAUAGCAUAAAGCUGUGAAUAACCAGCAUUCAGAAAGCACUGCAGACCAGCAGUGCACAGAAAGCAGUGUUCAGAAAGGCAGAGGAGGGCAGAAGAGGGAGAAAGUAUUUAGGAUUGGAUGACCAGGGUAAGUCUUGUCAAAAGAGGUGGGCUUUGGUAUGGGUCUUGAAGGACCAAUGAGAUUUAAACAGCAAGAAGGAAGGAGGAAGAGGAGUCCCUAACAAUGAGAACAGAGUGAACUAAGGCAGAGAAAGAGUGUGAAAGUCCAAGGUGUGCUGGGGACUCUGAAGGGACUGGAGCAGAAAGUUCAUGUAAGGCCUUAGUGUGAGAUAGGUUUACAAAGGCAGACUAAGGCCAGAUUUUGACAGAGCCUGUAUUUCAAGUUAAAUAGUCCCAGUUACAGGCACCAAACCAUCAUUUUUUGGCUUCUCAGGAGGUCUGGGUGACCUUUGGACAGAUUAAUCUUAUAAUUAUAGCCAGGCUACUCUGCAAGGAAAGGCUGGAGUCAGGGAGACCAGUUAGUAGAACUAUGAAAGUCAGGAACAAAGAAUUGUUGACCAGGAGCUAACUCUGUCAUAAAGAAAGGGAUCAUGAAUUCCCAGGAUUGAAGAUAAAAGAGCACAAAGAAGCUCCUACCAGCUAGGAGAGGAAGUAGAAAAGUCUUCUGACUCCAGAAAAAGGUAAAGAAGAAAAUGAGAGUGAGAGGCAGGUAAUGGCAGAAAUAAGACGAUUAAAAUAUUUGAAAAUCACCGAAUUGAGAACAUCAUUAUGUUGUCGUGUUCAAGGACCAAUGCCAAAUGGAAAGUCAGAAACUAGAGCUGAAGAGCUAUCCAUCUUUCAAGUUGCUUGAUGUUUUUGGAAUCGGUGGAGAGUUCAACAUCUGGCUUUCCCCCAGUUAAGUAUCUCUCUUUUCUGUUUUGGAACUUAAUGGAUGAGCUAAAUAGAAAGGAGAAAAAUACAGAA
This 1008-nucleotide long non-coding RNA is filed under the name Sus scrofa (pig). Its description in RNAcentral is "lncRNA (ENSSSCG00060063095.1)". The record is from RNAcentral. Lineage: Eukaryota; Metazoa; Chordata; Mammalia; Artiodactyla; Suidae.